Molecule: ribosomal RNA, 253 nt
Filed under: uncultured bacterium
Lineage: Bacteria
Description: partial 16S ribosomal RNA
Rfam family: Bacterial small subunit ribosomal RNA
Source: RNAcentral
UACAGAGGGUGCGAGCGUUAAUCGGAGUUACUGGGCGUAAAGGGCGCGUAGGCGGUAGGAUAAGAUGUGUGUGAAAACCCUGGGCUUAACCUGGGACGUGCAUACAAGACUGUUUUACUAGAGUAUGGUAGAGGGUAGUGGAAUUUCCGGUGUAGCGGUGAAAUGCGUAGACAUCGGAAGGAACACCGGUGGCGAAGGCGGCUACCUGGGCUAAUACUGACGCUGAGGCGCGAGAGCGUGGGGAUCAAACAGG